CGAUGAAGCCGGAGCUUGCUCUGGUGGAUUAGUGGCGAACGGGUGAGUAACACGUGAGUAACCUGCCCUUGACUCUGGGAUAAGCGUUGGAAACGACGUCUAAUACCGGAUACGAGCUGGGACCGCAUGGUCACUAGCUGGAAAGAACUUCGGUCAAGGAUGGACUCGCGGCCUAUCAGCUUGUUGGUGAGGUAACGGCUCACCAAGGCGACGACGGGUAGCCGGCCUGAGAGGGUGACCGGCCACACUGGGACUGAGACACGGCCCAGACUCCUACGGGAGGCAGCAGUGGGGAAUAUUGCACAAUGGGCGAAAGCCUGAUGCAGCAACGCCGCGUGAGGGACGACGGCCUUCGGGUUGUAAACCUCUUUUAGCAGGGAAGAAGCGAAAGUGACGGUACCUGCAGAAAAAGCACCGGCUAACUACGUGCCAGCAGCCGCGGUAAUACGUAGGGUGCAAGCGUUGUCCGGAAUUAUUGGGCGUAAAGAGCUCGUAGGCGGUUUGUCGCGUCUGCUGUGAAAACGCGAGGCUCAACCUCGCGCCUGCAGUGGGUACGGGCAAACUAGAGUGCGGUAGGGGAGAUUGGAAUUCCUGGUGUAGCGGUGGAAUGCGCAGAUAUCAGGAGGAACACCGAUGGCGAAGGCAGAUCUCUGGGCCGUAACUGACGCUGAGGAGCGAAAGCAUGGGGAGCGAACAGGAUUAGAUACCCUGGUAGUCCAUGCCGUAAACGUUGGGAACUAGAUGUAGGGACCAUUCCACGGUUUCUGUGUCGCAGCUAACGCAUUAAGUUCCCCGCCUGGGGAGUACGGUCGCAAGACUAAAACUCAAAGGAAUUGACGGGGGCCCGCACAAGCGGCGGAGCAUGCGGAUUAAUUCGAUGCAACGCGAAGAACCUUACCAAGGCUUGACAUAUAGA
Molecule: ribosomal RNA, 916 nt
Filed under: Microcella putealis
Lineage: Bacteria; Bacillati; Actinomycetota; Actinomycetes; Micrococcales; Microbacteriaceae
Description: bacterial SSU rRNA
Rfam family: Bacterial small subunit ribosomal RNA
Source: RNAcentral